AUGAACGCUGGCGGCGUGCCUAAUACAUGCAAGUCGAGCGAACAGAUGAGGAGCUUGCUCCUCUGACGUUAGCGGCGGACGGGUGAGUAACACGUGGAUAACCUACCUAUAAGACUGGGAUAACUUCGGGAAACCGGAGCUAAUACCGGAUAAUAUAUUGAACCGCAUGGUUCAAUAGUGAAAGACGGUUUUGCUGUCACUUAUAGAUGGAUCCGCGCCGCAUUAGCUAGUUGGUAAGGUAACGGCUUACCAAGGCAACGAUGCGUAGCCGACCUGAGAGGGUGAUCGGCCACACUGGAACUGAGACACGGUCCAGACUCCUACGGGAGGCAGCAGUAGGGAAUCUUCCGCUAUGGGCGAAAGCCUGACGGAGCAACGCCGCGUGAGUGAUGAAGGUCUUCGGAUCGUAAAACUCUGUUAUUAGGGAAGAACAAAUGUGUAAGUAACUAUGCACGUCUUGACGGUACCUAAUCAGAAAGCCACGGCUAACUACGUG
Molecule: ribosomal RNA, 496 nt
Filed under: uncultured bacterium
Lineage: Bacteria
Description: partial 16S ribosomal RNA
Rfam family: Bacterial small subunit ribosomal RNA
Source: RNAcentral